RNAcentral lists this transfer RNA (85 nucleotides) under Melampsora pinitorqua Mpini7. RNAcentral describes it as "tRNA-Ser (GGA) (tRNA-Ser-GGA-2-1)". It matches the Rfam family "tRNA". Rfam says of the family: Transfer RNA (tRNA) molecules are approximately 80 nucleotides in length. Their secondary structure includes four short double-helical elements and three loops (D, anti-codon, and T loops). Further hydrogen bonds mediate the characteristic L-shaped molecular structure. tRNAs have two regions of fundamental functional importance: the anti-codon, which is responsible for specific mRNA codon recognition, and the 3' end, to which the tRNAs corresponding amino acid is attached (by aminoacyl-tRNA synthetases). tRNAs cope with the degeneracy of the genetic code in two manners: having more than one tRNA (with a specific anti-codon) for a particular amino acid; and 'wobble' base-pairing, i.e. permitting non-standard base-pairing at the 3rd anti-codon position. The record is from RNAcentral. Lineage: Eukaryota; Fungi; Basidiomycota; Pucciniomycetes; Pucciniales; Melampsoraceae.
GGAGGGUUCGCAUAGUGGUCUAGUGCACUCGCUUGGAAAGCGAGCGUGGGGCAACCCACCGAGAGUUCGAAUCUCUCACCCUCCG